GACGAACGCUGGCGGCGUGCUUAACACAUGCAAGUCGAACGGAAAGGCCUGCUUUUGUGGGGUGCUCGAGUGGCGAACGGGUGAGUAACACGUGAGUAACCUGCCCUUGACUUUGGGAUAACUUCAGGAAACUGGGGCUAAUACCGGAUAGGAGCUCCUGCUGCAUGGUGGGGGUUGGAAAGUUUCGGCGGUUGGGGAUGGACUCGCGGCUUAUCAGCUUGUUGGUGGGGUAGUGGCUUACCAAGGCUUUGACGGGUAGCCGGCCUGAGAGGGUGACCGGCCACAUUGGGACUGAGAUACGGCCCAGACUCCUACGGGAGGCAGCAGUGGGGAAUAUUGCACAAUGGGCGGAAGCCUGAUGCAGCAACGCCGCGUGCGGGAUGACGGCCUUCGGGUUGUAAACCGCUUUCGCCUGUGGCGAAGCGUGAGUGACGGUAAUGGGUAAAGAAGCACCGGCUAACUACGUG
Molecule: ribosomal RNA, 467 nt
Filed under: uncultured bacterium
Lineage: Bacteria
Description: partial 16S ribosomal RNA
Rfam family: Bacterial small subunit ribosomal RNA
Source: RNAcentral